Molecule: ribosomal RNA, 505 nt
Filed under: uncultured bacterium
Lineage: Bacteria
Description: bacterial SSU rRNA
Rfam family: Bacterial small subunit ribosomal RNA
Source: RNAcentral
GAUGAACGCUAGCGGCAGGCCUAACACAUGCAAGUCGAGGGGUAGAAUUAGCUUGCUAAUUUGAGACCGGCGCACGGGUGCGUAACGCGUAUGCAAUCUACCUUGUACCAGGGGGAUAGCCCAGAGAAAUUUGGAUUAAUACCCCAUGGUAUAAUUGAAUCGCAUGGUUUGAUUAUUAAAGUUCCAACGGUACAAGAUGAGCAUGCGUCCCAUUAGCUAGUUGGUGUGGUAACGGCAUACCAAGGCGACGAUGGGUAGGGGUCCUGAGAGGGAGAUCCCCCGANACCUGGUACUGAGACACGGACCAGACUCCUACGGGAGGCAGCAGUGAGGAAUAUUGGUCAAUGGUCGGAAGACUGAACCAGCCAUGCCGCGUGCAGGAAGACGGUCCUAUGGAUUGUAAACUGCUUUUUGUACGGGAAGAAACACUCCUUCGUGAAGGAGCUUGACGGUACCGUAAGAAUAAGGAUCGGCUAACUCCGUGCCAGCAGCCGCGGUAAAGUCG